Long non-coding RNA from Bactrocera latifrons, 553 nucleotides. RefSeq lists it as uncharacterized. NCBI's taxonomy places the organism in Eukaryota, Metazoa, Arthropoda, Insecta, Diptera, Tephritidae. The transcript has 3 exons. The record is from RefSeq and is a predicted model, not a curated record.
GCGUAUACGGUAAAAUACGGAUACAAGAAGACGGACAUGCAUACGCGUCCAGUCGUUGAUGUGUGGCAAGGACAUGAGCGUGCAUUUUGUCGGUUGCCGGUUUUGUUUUCCUUGGCCAGAAUAACUGUUUGGUUGGAUGAGUUAAGCUAUCGGCUACACAGGCGGCAAUUAAAAACAGAAAAUGAAAGUUUUGCUUCAAUGAUUGCAACGCUGAUUUUAUUUUGAUAGAAAAAGCUAAAGUUUUAAAGACAAAUUCAGAAAAAAAAAAACAAACAAAGUCACAAAACUCACUUGAUAUGCAGUGGAUUGUUGGCUAAGCGGGUUGUGUCACGCGGUUCAGUCUGUCGUUGACUAGCGUUUGUGUUGUGUGCGCAGCCCAGAACGAGUGUCGUGAGUCGUUUAAACGGCUUAUCUGUGCUUACUCGGUAGCACACAAAUAUCCAGCCAGUAAUUUAAGUUGUGUGUUGUUUCAGCUGCUAAAACAAGAAGUUGAAUCCAGGGAAGGAACAUGGAACUUCCUUUCCACUGAAUAUACGAAGGCUCAAAGGCAUGA